ACGAACGCUGGCGGCAGGCUUAACACAUGCAAGUCGAACGAGACCUUCGGGUCUAGUGGCGCACGGGUGAGUAACGCGUGGGAAUCUACCUUGGAGUUCGGGAUAACAGUUGGAAACGACUGCUAAUACCGGAUACGCCCUACGGGGGAAAGGUUUACUGCUCCAAGACGAGCCCGCGUCCAAUUAGGUAGUUGGUGGGGUAAAGGCCUACCAAGCCGACGAUUGGUAGCUGGUCUGAGAGGAUGGCCAGCCACACUGGGACUGAGACACGGCCCAGACUCCUACGGGAGGCAGCAGUGGGGAAUAUUGGACAAUGGGGGCAACCCUGAUCCAGCCAUGCCGCGUGAGUGAUGAAGGCCUUAGGGUUGUAAAGCUCUUUCGCCGGUGACGAUGAUGACGGUAACCGGAGAAGAAGCCCCGGCUAACUUCGU
RNAcentral lists this ribosomal RNA (431 nucleotides) under uncultured bacterium. RNAcentral's name for it is "bacterial SSU rRNA". It matches the Rfam family "Bacterial small subunit ribosomal RNA", at positions 29 to 506 of the family's 1533-position model. The record is from RNAcentral.